AGAUUGCAGGCUGCAACUCGCCUGCAUGAAGUUGGAAUUGCUAGUAAUCGCGGAUCAGCAUGCCGCGGUGAAUACGUUCCCGGGCCUUGUACACACCGCCCGUCACACCAUGAGAGUUGGGAAUACCCGAAGCCUGUGGCCCAACCGAAAGGAAGGAGCAGCCGAAGGCAGGCCCGGUGACUGGGGUGAAGUCGUAACAAGGUAAC
This 206-nucleotide ribosomal RNA is filed under the name uncultured bacterium. Its description in RNAcentral is "partial 16S ribosomal RNA". It matches the Rfam family "Bacterial small subunit ribosomal RNA", at positions 1295 to 1500 of the family's 1533-position model. The record is from RNAcentral.